GUUGGCGGCCAUAGGUGGGAGCUAGGACCCGUUCCCAUUCCGAAAGAAUGAGGAAAGCGAUGCUUAACUCGUACCGGAAGCACGGAAGUGAAUCUCCCAUGCGAUCUCUGUGGUAGUGUGGUGCUAACGCCCACGCGAAGCUUAGACCGCUGCCAACC
RNAcentral lists this ribosomal RNA (158 nucleotides) under Candidatus Bathyarchaeota archaeon. Lineage: Archaea; Thermoproteati; Candidatus Bathyarchaeota. The record is from RNAcentral.